ACACUAUAGGCACGCCACUGGAUCCGCCGAUAAGUCAACUUCAUCAGUGUUUUCUCGUUGAUCUAGAAGGAACCAGCAAACGAGCGAGAUAUCAAUCGAAAGAUCUCGUUGUCAGCUUUCCAGAUCAUCUUCCCGAUCGUAAAACCAAGGCACGGUUGGAAAGUUAUUGACGUUGCUUCUUGGCCAAGGAUAAGCUGAAGCUUUAGUGAUGCAGAUACAGUUCCGACCAGUUUCAGCGUAAAGGCCAAACGGCCGACCUAAAUGAAAGCUUUCAAUCUGGAAAUUUGUCACUAAGUAUUUCACUCUUUUAUCUAUCGUCUCCAAGAAGCGGAUUGUCAUUUCGAGUUAUUUUCUGAAAGUUGUGUUUGUUUUCGUGAGAAAUAUUACUGCAGUCUUCGUUUGCGACCAGCCUGGAGGUGAAGCUAAUUUGGUUAAUCAAAUGGUGUCCGAUCGGAGUGAACUCGGUGUCUAUGGACAGAGGACAUAUAGGACUACAUUAUGACCGGACGGAUUGAAAAGUUAACGAGAGUUCCAGAGUUGCUGUUUCAGAGUCGUCAAGGUUCAUUAUGUGUUUUCUCAGGUUAUCUUCAGAACUCGUGGCAAAGGUGAGACUGGCGGACAGAAGUGAUUGCUAUUGGAUGGGUGCUUUGGGAGUUUUAUUUCUUAUUUUCAGACUUCGGUUUUAUGCUUUUAUCGAUAUUUUCCGAGAAUUAUGUGAAUAUUGGAUUUAUGGUUAGUUAUUGGAUUUAUAAUGAGUAAUAAAUUGAGUAUUUUGAAGAUUA
Molecule: long non-coding RNA, 782 nt
Organism: Raphanus sativus (radish)
Lineage: Eukaryota; Viridiplantae; Streptophyta; Magnoliopsida; Brassicales; Brassicaceae
Exons: 3
Source: RefSeq, a predicted model, not a curated record